RNAcentral lists this unclassified non-coding RNA (378 nucleotides) under plant metagenome. Its description in RNAcentral is "partial contains 5.8S ribosomal RNA, internal transcribed spacer 2, and large subunit ribosomal RNA". The stretch from base 1 to 105 matches the Rfam family "5.8S ribosomal RNA", at positions 50 to 154 of the family's 154-position model. The record is from RNAcentral.
GAAAUGCGAUAAGUAAUGUGAAUUGCAGAAUUCAGUGAAUCAUCGAAUCUUUGAACGCACCUUGCGCUCCUUGGUAUUCCUUGGAGCAUGCCUGUUUGAGUAUCAUGUAAUCUUCAAAGUAAAUCUUUUGUUAACUCAAUUGGUUUCUACUUUGGUAUUGGAGGUCUUUGCAGCUUCACACCUGCUCCUCUUUGUUCAUUAGCUGGAUCUCAGUGUUAUGCGUGGUUCCACUCGGCGUGAUAAGUUAUCUAUCGCUGAGGACACUGUAAAAGGUGGCCAAGGUAAAUGCAGAUGAACCGCUUCUAAUAGUCCAUUGACUUGGACAAUACUUUUAUGAUCUGAUCUCAAAUCAGGUAGGACUACCCGCUGAACUUAAGC